ACCAAGAACCAGCAGGAAUAGCAAAUAACUCUUCACCCUGCAUCAUCAGCAGAUAAUAUUGUGCUGACUGUGCUCCCUCGAGAUGACCAUGAAACUGAAAUUGACCAGUUUCAUCCUCUAAUAGCCAUGGUUUAUUCUUGUACUUCUCCCGCAAAGUAUCUGUAACUUGACGUCCUUGCAAACCUUCUUUUUGUAAAGUCCAUUUACUGUCAUUCUUCUUUUUUGAAAAUUUUGGUAAGCCUGAAGCAAAUCUAGCAAUGAAAUGGUUCUUGUCAUUGCUGGAGCAAGCCCGAACAUUAUAUUCUCGAAUCAAUCGUGUAACUGGAGUUCCACACUCAUAGCACUUAUCACGAGUCUCAGCCAUGUUUUUACCACAAGACAAACAGAGAGUCAAAUGCUUGCAUGAGCUUCCAUACAGAUCCGAGGAUGAACCACACCUGCUACAUGAAGGUUUCAGAAUCAAAUCUAUCGACAUUACUGUCCCGUUAACUAUUGUUGAUUUCGUUUCAGUAGUUGAAAUUUAUUCAAUUUGAUUUCUUGUUAAGGAGUGUUCGUUAGAUCGAGAGGAGAUUGAAG
Molecule: unclassified non-coding RNA, 576 nt
Filed under: Hevea brasiliensis (rubber tree)
Lineage: Eukaryota; Viridiplantae; Streptophyta; Magnoliopsida; Malpighiales; Euphorbiaceae
Source: RNAcentral